RNAcentral lists this ribosomal RNA (484 nucleotides) under uncultured bacterium. RNAcentral's name for it is "partial 16S ribosomal RNA". It matches the Rfam family "Bacterial small subunit ribosomal RNA", at positions 30 to 507 of the family's 1533-position model. The record is from RNAcentral.
AUUGAACGCUGGCGGCAGGCCUAACACAUGCAAGUCGAGCGGAUGAAGGGAGCUUGCUCCUGGAUUCAGCGGCGGACGGGUGAGUAAUGCCUAGGAAUCUGCCUGGUAGUGGGGGAUAACGUCCGGAAACGGGCGCUAAUACCGCAUACGUCCUGCGGGAGAAAGCGGGGGAUCUUCGGGCCUCUCGCUAUCAGAUGAGCCUAGGUCGGAUUAGCUAGUUGGUGGGGUAAAGGCCUACCAAGGCGACGAUCCGUAACUGGUCUGAGAGGAUGAUCAGUCACACUGGAACUGAGACACGGUCCAGACUCCUACGGGAGGCAGCAGUGGGGAAUAUUGGACAAUGGGCGAAAGCCUGAUCCAGCCAUGCCGCGUGUGUGAAGAAGGUCUUCGGAUUGUAAAGCACUUUAAGUUGGGAGGAAGGGCAGUAAGUUAAUACCUUGCUGUUUUGACGUUACCGACAGAAUAAGCACCGGCUAACUACGUG